This is a long non-coding RNA of Gossypium arboreum, 242 nucleotides long. RefSeq lists it as uncharacterized. The transcript is spliced from 3 exons. The record is from RefSeq and is a predicted model, not a curated record. Lineage: Eukaryota; Viridiplantae; Streptophyta; Magnoliopsida; Malvales; Malvaceae.
AUAUUAAUCAUUUUUAUUUCCUAAUUGCCGAAACAAAAGGGAAGAACAACAAGCUAGGGUUCGGCCAUCUAUUUAGCUCAAUCAAGGGAAAAAUCGAAGUUGUCGACUAGUCGAUCCAUACCGAUUUUUCGUUGUUCGAGAUUUUGGAUUUAAGUUACAAGCUCGGGGAUGUCAGCAAAUUCCAUUACACUAUCUACUGUUUUGGUAUUCAAAUAGUCAAACUUGAACUAUGGCAUGUAUAG